RNAcentral lists this ribosomal RNA (239 nucleotides) under uncultured bacterium. RNAcentral's name for it is "partial 16S ribosomal RNA". It matches the Rfam family "Bacterial small subunit ribosomal RNA", at positions 15 to 236 of the family's 1533-position model. The record is from RNAcentral.
GAUCAUGGCUCAGGAUGAACGCUGGCGGCGUGCCUAACACAUGCAAGUCGAACGAAGCGGUUUUGGUGAAGUUUUCGGAUGGAACCGAGAUUGACUGAGUGGCGGACGGGUGAGUAACGCGUGGGUAACCUGCCUCACACAGGGGGAUAACAGUUAGAAAUGACUGCUAAUACCGCAUAAGCGCACGGAGACGCAUGUCUUUGUGUGAAAAGCCUUAACGGUGUGAGAUGGACCCGCGU